Molecule: ribosomal RNA, 812 nt
Filed under: uncultured bacterium
Lineage: Bacteria
Description: bacterial SSU rRNA
Rfam family: Bacterial small subunit ribosomal RNA
Source: RNAcentral
UNUGACUUGAGUGCAGAAGGGGAGAGUGGAAUUCCAUGUGUAGCGGUGAAAUGCGUAGAUAUAUGGAGGAACACCAGUGGCGAAAGCGGCUCUCUGNUCUGUCACUGACGCUGAGGCUCGAAAGCGUGGGUAGCGAACAGGAUUAGAUACCCUGAUAGUNCACGCCGUAAACGAUGAGUGCUAGGUGUUAGGCCCUUUCCGGGGCUUAGUGCCGGAGCUAACGCAAUAAGCACUCCGCCUGGGGAGUACGACCGCAAGGUUGAAACUCAAAGGAAUUGACGGGGGCCCGCACAAGCGGUGGAGCAUGUGGUUUAAUUCGAAGCAACGCGAAGAACCUUACCAGGUCUUGACAUCCCGAUGCUAUUCUUAGAGAUAGGAAGUUACUUCGGUACAUCGGAGACAGGUGGUGCAUGGUUGUCGUCAGCUCGUGUCGUGAGAUGUUGGGUUAAGUCCCGCAACGAGCACAACCCUUAUUGUUAGUUGCCAUCAUUAAGUUGGGCACUCUAGCGAGACUGCCGGUAAUAAACCGGAGGAAGGUGGGGAUGACGUCAAAUCAUCAUGCCCCUUAUGACCUGGGCUACACACGUGCUACAAUGGUCGGUACAACGAGUUGCGAGCCGGUGACGGCAAGCUAAUCUCUGAAAGCCGAUCUCAGUUCGGAUUGGAGGCUGCAACUCGCCUCCAUGAAGUCGGAAUCGCUAGUAAUCGCGGAUCAGCACGCCGCGGUGAAUACGUUCCCGGGCCUUGUACACACCGCCCGUCACACCACGAGAGUUUGUAACACCCGAAGUCGGUGAGGUANCCUUUUAGGG